Molecule: microRNA precursor, 55 nt
Filed under: Taeniopygia guttata (zebra finch)
Lineage: Eukaryota; Metazoa; Chordata; Aves; Passeriformes; Estrildidae
Description: Tgu-Mir-1677-P5_pre stem-loop
Source: RNAcentral
AGAGCCCAUUGUAGUCAAUGGGAGACUUUUUCCAUUGACUUCAUCGGGGUUUGGA